RNAcentral lists this ribosomal RNA (808 nucleotides) under uncultured bacterium. Its description in RNAcentral is "bacterial SSU rRNA". It matches the Rfam family "Bacterial small subunit ribosomal RNA", at positions 8 to 796 of the family's 1533-position model. The record is from RNAcentral.
AGAGUUUGAUCAUGGCUCAGAAUCAACGCUGGCGGCGUGCCUAAUACAUGCAAGUCGAACGCGAAAGUGGAGCAAUCCAUGAGUAGAGUGGCAAACGGGUGAGUAACGCGUGGGUGACCUGCCUUCGAGUGGGGGAUAACGUUCCGAAAGGGACGCUAAUACCGCAUGACAUCCUGCCUUUUAAGAGGUGGAGAUCAAAGCUGGGGAUCGCAAGACCUAGCGCUUGAAGAGGGGCCCGCGUCCGAUUAGCUAGUUGGUGGGGUAACGGCUCACCAAGGCGACGAUCGGUAGCCGGCCUGAGAGGGCGGACGGCCACACUGGGACUGAGACACGGCUCAGACUCCUACGGGAGGCAGCAGUAGGGAAUUGUUCGCAAUGGGCGCAAGCCUGACGACGCAACGCCGCGUGGAGGAUGAAGACCUUCGGGUCGUAAACUCCUUUCGAUCGAGACGAAUGGCCCUUGGGCUAAUCACCAGGGGAAUGACGGUACCGAGAGAAGAAGCCCCGGCUAACUCCGUGCCAGCAGCCGCGGUAAUACGGGGGGGGCAAGCGUUGUUUGGAAUUACUGGGCGUAAAGGGCUCGUAGGCGGCCAACUAAGUCAGACGUGAAAUCCCUCGGCUUAACCGGGGAACUGCGUCUGAUACUGGAUGGCUGGAGGUUGGGAGAGGGAUGCGGAAUUCCAGGUGUAGCGGUGAAAUGCGUAGAUAUCUGGAGGAACACCGGUGGCGAAGGCGGCAUCCUGGACCAACUCUGACGCUGAGGAGCGAAAGCCAGGGGAGCAAACGGGAUUAGAUACCCCAGUAGUCC